This 134-nucleotide unclassified non-coding RNA is filed under the name uncultured fungus. Its description in RNAcentral is "sequence contains ITS1". Lineage: Eukaryota; Fungi. The record is from RNAcentral.
AUCUUUUUUUAUUAUUAUUAUAUAAAAAUUUUAUACAUUUAAGAGUGGGUUUUAAAUAUAGUUGAUCGCAAAACCUCGCUAACGCUCGGUUCGCUAAAUCAGUAAUGAUCCUUCCGCAGGUUCACCUACGGAAA